UGAGGAAUAUUGGUCAAUGGGCGAGAGCCUGAACCAGCCAAAUCGCGUGAAGGAAGACUGCCUUAUGGGUUGUAAACUUCUUUUAUACAGGAAUAAAAAGGGGACGUGUCCCUUAUUGCAUGUACUGUAUGAAUAAGCAUCGGCUAACUCCGUGCCAGCAGCCGCGGUAAUACGGAGGAUGCGAGCGUUAUCCGGAUUUAUUGGGUUUAAAGGGUGCGCAGGCGGGCUUUUAAGUCAGCGGUGAAAUCUCGGGGCUUAACUCCGAAACUGCCGUUGAAACUGGGAGUCUUGAGUAUGGAUGAAGUAGGCGGAAUUCGUUGUGUAGCGGUGACAUGCUUAGAUAUAACGAGGAACUCCGAUUGCGUAGGCAGCUUACUAAGCCAUAACUGACGCUCAAGCACGAAAGCGUGGGGAUCAAAACAGGAUUAGAUACCCCUGGUAGUCCACGCCGUAAAACGAUGAUUACUAGUUGUAUGCGAUAUACCGUAUGUGACUAAGCGAAAAGCGAUAAAGUAAUCCACCUGGGGAGUACGCCGGCAACGGUGAAACUCAAAGGAAUUGACGGGGUCAUAGCUGUUUCCUG
Molecule: ribosomal RNA, 583 nt
Filed under: uncultured bacterium
Lineage: Bacteria
Description: partial 16S ribosomal RNA
Rfam family: Bacterial small subunit ribosomal RNA
Source: RNAcentral